AGAGUUUGAUUCUGGCUCAGGAUGAACGCUGGCGGCGUGCUUAACACAUGCAAGUCGAGCGAAGCACUUUGAUUGGAUUCUUCGGAUGAAGAUAAUUGUGACUGAGCGGCGGACGGGUGAGUAACGCGUGGGCAACCUGCCUUACACAGGGGGAUAACAGUUAGAAAUGACUGCUAAUACCGCAUAAGACCGCGGAACCGCAUGGUUCUGAGGUAAAAACUCCGGUGGUGUAAGAUGGGCCCGCGUCUGAUUAGGUAGUUGGUGAGGUAACGGCUCACCAAGCCGACGAUCAGUAGCCGACCUGAGAGGGUGACCGGCCACAUUGGGACUGAGACACGGCCCAGACUCCUACGGGAGGCAGCAGUGGGGAAUAUUGCACAAUGGGGGAAACCCUGAUGCAGCGACGCCGCGUGAGCGAUGAAGUAUUUCGGUAUGUAAAGCUCUAUCAGCAGGGAAGAAAAUGACGGUACCUGACUAAGAAGCCCCGGCUAACUACGUGCCAGCAGCCGCGGUAAUACGUAGGGGGCAAGCGUUAUCCGGAUUUACUGGGUGUAAAGGGAGCGUAGACGGUCCUGCAAGCCAGAUGUGAAAGCCCGGGGCUCAACCCCGGGACUGCAUUUGGAACUGU
Molecule: ribosomal RNA, 628 nt
Filed under: uncultured bacterium
Lineage: Bacteria
Description: bacterial SSU rRNA
Rfam family: Bacterial small subunit ribosomal RNA
Source: RNAcentral